CCUACGGGAGGCUGCAGUGAGGAAUAUUGGUCAAUGGCCGGGAGGCUGAACCAGCCAAGUCGCGUGAGGGAAGACGGCCCUACGGGUUGUAAACCUCUUUUGUCAGGGAGCAAGGUGCAGGUCGGGACCUGCUGUGAGAGUACCUGAAGAAAAAGCAUCGGCUAACUCCGUGCCAGCAGCCGCGGUACUACGGAGGAUGCGGGCGUUAUCCGGAUUUAUUGGGUUUAAAGGGUGCGCAGGUGGAGGCACAAGUCAGCGGUAAAAUCGCGGGGCUCAACCCCGCUCCGCCGUUGAAACUGUGUGCCUUGAGUGCGCGAAGGGUAGGCGGAAUGCGUGGUGUAGCGGUGAAAUGCAUAGAUAUCACGCAGAACUCCGAUCGCGAAGGCAGCCUACCGGCGCGCAACUGACGCUCAUGCACGAAAGCGUGGGUAUCGAACAGGAUUAGAUACCCCUGUAGUC
RNAcentral lists this ribosomal RNA (459 nucleotides) under uncultured bacterium. Its description in RNAcentral is "partial 16S ribosomal RNA". It matches the Rfam family "Bacterial small subunit ribosomal RNA", at positions 338 to 795 of the family's 1533-position model. The record is from RNAcentral.